ACAUACGACCAUAGGAAACUUGGACCACUGAAACCCGUCAGAUCUUCUUUAGUUAAACAGCUUACCGGCGGGUUAGUAGUUAGGUGGGUGACCACUAGCGAAUCUCCGCUGUCGUAUGUU
Molecule: ribosomal RNA, 120 nt
Filed under: Bipolaris sorokiniana
Lineage: Eukaryota; Fungi; Ascomycota; Dothideomycetes; Pleosporales; Pleosporaceae
Also listed under: 1 other name
Source: RNAcentral